RNAcentral lists this long non-coding RNA (571 nucleotides) under Phasianus colchicus (ring-necked pheasant). RNAcentral describes it as "lncRNA (ENSPCLG00000011228.1)". Lineage: Eukaryota; Metazoa; Chordata; Aves; Galliformes; Phasianidae. The record is from RNAcentral.
UGACAACACAAAUGUGGAAGCCUGUCAUUCAGCCUCCAGCCUGUUGUAGUGUCAGUGCAAGCCUUGCCAAAAGUAGUUCUCCUAGCAACACUUACAGUAAAAUACCCUCUUGUCCUGCAACCUUUGCUUUAAUUAAAUGAAAAUGGAUCAAGCAAAAUCAGAGGUUUUCUUUUGUUGAUUAAACUGUGAUUUAUUUAGCAAAUAUCCUCCAUCUGUUUACAGAAAAUGUUGGCUUCUGACUCGUAACUACGUGGACCAACUGCAACCACAGGCUGUGCCAGUGCUCCUGAAACCAGACCGAGUUCUGUGCUGUGCUGCUGCAUCUCCUCCCACACCUGCCAUCCUCUGGGCAGUGCUGAAGCAGGCAGGAAGCACCAUAAAUCUUGUGAAGAAGCCUUCUGGCAAGCUUCCUAGCCCGGCUCUGCUGAGCGCUGAGUUUUGGAUCAUUUGGAUAAACUUCGUGAUGAGGAAUGGCCAGUGCCUGGGUGUCCUAAUGUUGGGCAGAGCAGGACGUGGAGCUCGUUUGUAGGUCUGAAGGCAGCAUGGACAGCUUGGCAGAUCCUUUUGUUUG